This is a long non-coding RNA of Aedes aegypti (yellow fever mosquito), 637 nucleotides long. RefSeq lists it as uncharacterized. The record is from RefSeq and is a predicted model, not a curated record. NCBI's taxonomy places the organism in Eukaryota, Metazoa, Arthropoda, Insecta, Diptera, Culicidae. The transcript is spliced from 2 exons.
UGAAUUUGCCGUAAAAGUCCAAAUUAUAUACGCGUAACGGUCUGUCCAAAACACUUUGAUCCUUCGUGCAUUGAUCAAUUCGGCCCUAAUUGCAAAUCUGUCCUUAUAAUGUAACAGCUGUAACGCACGACAUUGAUUCGCUCGUGGUUUGUGACGAAUUUGCCGAGAAACGUCAGUAAACGUCGAGAGUCUGGGUUUGUUUUCACGCUAACUUUGAAGUACCCAUUAAAUGGGUUCCUUGUACCCAUUUUUAUUGCUAGUACUGAGUUGUCAGAAAAAGGGUAUUAUUUUUUAACACUAAAAAGAGUACAUUUUACUCUUCUUGAAGAACGAGUUCCGUCAGUAAAAAAGGGUAAAAAAGCCACUUUUCGCCAUUUGGAGCAACAACAUUGAAGUGUUUUGCCGCAAAUCAUAUUUCGUUAAUUAAUUGAAAGAAUCAUGGUCCGUACUUGGCUUAAAGCAGAACCCUUCAAGGAGCAUUACAAGCGGCAAUUAAAGAGUGGGUUUUCAUCCGGGAUAUGGAAUAGCAAAAUACGGAGCAAGACCCCUGGAUACAGAUGAGAAAGUCAACGCAUUAAAGUUUGAGUUAGCACCUUAGUUAUAAGUAAUCAAAUAAAAAGAUUUCCAUUAAAAUAUA